GAGAGAUUCAGGUGCCUUUGAUGGAAUAUGAAAAAAAUAGAAAUCAAAGCAAAAAUGUUGAAUUGCACCUUAGGCACAAAUCUUUUGUCUUAAAGAUACACCAAGAGCAGAUAGAAACAAAACAUUGAAAACUUCUUGGAAUUAUCAUUCUAUUUUUCAGCAGAGAGAUGACUUUGACGUCCUAUUUUCAACCCAACCCCUUUUUUGAAGUGCACAAAGGCACCACUUAAAUUAACUUCUUCUUGUGAGAUUGUCCACUGUGUUGUAUUGUCAGAUGGAAGAUUCUGAGAUAAUGCACUUGUUCUUGAUUAGGAAUUUUCCAGCAAUGAAAUGCAACCUGAUCUCUUUGAAAGAUACCAGGCAGGUGCCAAUGGGGACAUUGAGGUGAGGAAGAGGGCUGCUGCUUCAUAUCCUAUGGGGCAGUUUUCCUGGAGCAUCUGCCCACCCCUGUGGGUUUUGCAGGAUAUGAGCUGGAAAGCACUCAGCCUGUUUUCCUUCAGGCACUCUUCCACAUGUCCAGGCAAAAUUCCUGCUGGAUGCACUGCUGCUGGCCUGGGCACAAGUACAAGGAAUAAGAGAAAGACCUCUAUCCAGCUGAUAUGCAGGCUGCCCAUUUCCAUUUAACAGCAUGGACCUUCUGCCCUCUUCUCUCCUGGUUCUCAGUGGAGAAUCAUAGAAUCAUUUGAGUUGCAAGGGACCCUUAAAAGUCUGCCCUGCAAUGAAUGGGGACACCUACAGCUCAAUCAGGUGCUCAAAGCCUCAUCUAGCCUUACCUUGGGUUUCUCCAAGAAUGGGAGUUGUCCUACUGUCACACCAGCUUGCUUUCACGCUGCCCCUGGCUCUGGUUUAACUAUGGAAUAAUGAUAACAACUCUACCAUCUAACAUCCAAAACAAGAAAGGACCUGGCAAUGCAGGAGGAAACAUCAGUUGGCAUCUCCAAACGACUGUGAAAGAAAUAAUCGAGUCACAGGGCAAUCUGCAUCGUGAGACAUUUUUCAGUAUGAUAUCCUAAGAAACAUGACUAGCUUCAGCCAAAUUAAUUGCAUGUUAUUCAAUUAAAAAUAAGAAGAAACAAAACCUUAUUUAAUUUAUUUCUGUCAUCAACCUAUGUAAUCUCCAGUAUAACGAAUCUGAUGGUCUGCCUUCACAUGAAUAAAGAAUUUUUCCUCAGGCCA
This 1176-nucleotide long non-coding RNA is filed under the name Phasianus colchicus (ring-necked pheasant). RNAcentral describes it as "lncRNA (ENSPCLG00000018964.1)". The record is from RNAcentral. Lineage: Eukaryota; Metazoa; Chordata; Aves; Galliformes; Phasianidae.